UCCUGUCUGAAUAUGGGGGGACCAUCCUCCAAGGCUAAAUACUCCUGACUGACCGAUAGUGAACCAGUACCGUGAGGGAAAGGCGAAAAGAACCCCGGCGAGGGGAGUGAAAAAGAACCUGAAACCGUGUACGUACAAGCAGUGGGAGCCCCACCACUAAGCCAGUGGUGAACUCCACAUACGCAUCCUUUGCUGAGGAUACGGUUAACGGAGCGAAAGCGACGUUCAACCUCAAAAGAAGCAGAGGGGGCUUAGUGGUGGGGUGACUGCGUACCUUUUGUAUAAUGGGUCAGCGACUUAUAUUCUGUAGCAAGGUUAACCGAAUAGGGGAGCCGGAGGGAAACCGAGUCUUAACCGGGCGUUAAGUUGCAGGGUAUAGACCCGAAACCCGGUGAUCUAGCCAUGGGCAGGUUGAAGGUUGGGUAACACUAACUGGAGGACCGAACCGACUAAUGUUGAAAAAUUAGCGGAUGACCUGUGGCUGGGGGUGAAAGGCCAAUCAAACCGGGAGAUAGCUGGUUCUCCCCGAAAGCUAUUUAGGUAGCGCCUCGUGAAUUCAUCUCCGGGGGUAGAGCACUGUUUCGGCUAGGGGGUCAUCCCGACUUACCAACCCGAUGCAAACUGCGAAUACCGGAGAAUGUUAUCACGGGAGACACACGGCGGGUGCUAACGUCCGUCGUGAAGAGGGAAACAACCCAGACCGCCAGCUAAGGUCCCAAAGUCAUGGUUAAGUGGGAAACGAUGUGGGAAGGCCCAGACAGCCAGGAUGUUGGCUUAGAAGCAGCCAUCAUUUAAAGAAAGCGUAAUAGCUCACUGGUCGAGUCGGCCUGCGCGGAAGAUGUAACGGGGCUAAACCAUGCACCGAAGCUGCGGCAGCGAACGUAUCACCCAAGACAACUUUACGGAGUUGACGAUUGAUGGAGCGAAGCGACGUCAAAGCGUUCAUUAAAGUCGAGUUGGCUUAGGGAUACGUUCGUUGGGUAGGGGAGCGUUCUGUAAGCCUGUGAAGGUGGCCUGUGAGGGUUGCUGGAGGUAUCAGAAGUGCGAAUGCUGACAUAAGUAACGAUAAAGCGGGUGAAAAGCCCGCUCGCCGGAAGACCAAGGGUUCCUGUCCAACGUUAAUCGGGGCAGGGUGAGUCGACCCCUAAGGCGAGGCCGAAAGGCGUAGUCGAUGGGAAACGGGUUAAUAUUCCCGUACUUGGUGUUACUGCGAAGGGGGGACGGAGAAGGCUAUGUUGGCCGGGCGACGGUUGUCCCGGUUUAAGCGUGUAGGUGUGUGUUCCAGGUAAAUCCGGUUCACUUUAACACUGAGGCGUGAUGACGAGGCACUACGGUGCUGAAGCAACAAAUGCCCUGCUUCCAGGAAAAGCCUCUAAGCAUCAGGUAACAUCAAAUCGUACCCCAAACCGACACAGGUGGUCAGGUAGAGAAUACCAAGGCGCUUGAGAGAACUCGGGUGAAGGAACUAGGCAAAAUGGUGCCGUAACUUCGGGAGAAGGCACGCUGACACGUAGGUGAAGUGAUUUACUCA
This 1531-nucleotide ribosomal RNA is filed under the name Salmonella enterica. Its description in RNAcentral is "partial 23S ribosomal RNA". It matches the Rfam family "Bacterial large subunit ribosomal RNA", at positions 432 to 1773 of the family's 2925-position model. Lineage: Bacteria; Pseudomonadati; Pseudomonadota; Gammaproteobacteria; Enterobacterales; Enterobacteriaceae. The record is from RNAcentral.